Molecule: long non-coding RNA, 1338 nt
Organism: Cajanus cajan (pigeon pea)
Lineage: Eukaryota; Viridiplantae; Streptophyta; Magnoliopsida; Fabales; Fabaceae
Source: RefSeq, a predicted model, not a curated record
AACCUCCUCAACUCACACCUUGGUAGAAAAUUAAACCACUUCAUCACUCAUAUUAAUGGAUCAUCUUGGAAUUCAACCCUCUUCAACCAAGGUUGAAAGAAGGCUCGUAGAGAAAAACCGAAGAAACCAGAUGAAGAUCCUCUACAACAAACUCAACUCUCUUCUCCCUAGCUAUAACCCCAAGGAAGCAUUACCACUGCCUGACCCGCAUUACCACUGCCUGACCAAGUGGAUGAGGCAAUCAACUACAUAAAGAGUUUGGAGGCGAAGGUGAAGGUGGAGCAGGAGAAGAAAGAGAGGUUGCAGGGAGUUAGGAAGAGAUCUCGUGGUUGCUUCUCCAAUUCAUCCACUUCUAAUAAUUUAGCUGCAACGUUACCAAAAUCUCCACAACUUGAGAUUCACGAAGUUGGUUCCUCUCUGGAAGUUGUUCUCACUUGUGGGUUGGAUUACCAAUUCAUUUUCCAUGAAAUCAUUCGAAUGCUGCAUGAAGAGAACAUUGAUGUUAGAAGUGCCAAUUUCUCACACACUGGAGACUCGCUGCUUUAUGUUGUGCAUGCAGAGAUUCCUCAAUCUCUUCUUCAAUUCGGAGCAACCAAAGUGAGUGAGAGAUUGAAAAGGUUUGUGAAUGGAUCCUGCAGUGAUGUGGAAACACAGCCUGAGUUGUGGGAUUAUGAAAUUGGUACAGAUGAUAUGUGGGGUUUCUAGAUCUUACACUAAUAUGAAAGGAUGCAUGUAUUUUUAUUUUUGUAUGAUAAGCGGAAAAUAAUACUAUUAGCUAAUGUAUAAUUGACGAGUUUUAAGAGUAUUUCUGGUCGGUGAUAUUUUCCUUACACAAUGAGUUGUGUUUUUGACCGGGAAUUAACUAAGAAAAUAUAUGGUUUUUUUUUUCUUUUUUGGCUAUGAUUUGUAACUUUCAACAUUAAUUCGGAAGAUAAGUUUUCUCUUUCAUCAGAUUUGAUUAGUAGUACUACCUAACACAAUAUUAAGAGCUAGUUGGACGGUGGUCAGUUUCAUUGAAUUUGUUGUCAGGUUUUCAAACCACAGGACACGCUUAUAUAUGUCUGGAUUAUCGUUUGGACUAAUUAAUGACGAAUUUCACAAGCUUCUUCUAAAACUAUCUUAGUAUGAGAUUCUAUUUGAUGUAAAUAAGGAAAUAAAAAAUUGUUGGAAAAUGCAUUGAAUUGAACCGAAUGAAGAUACUUGGAUAGAAUUAAAUAUUCUCUCAUGAUAUAUAACAAAACAUCAAUUAAGGCAGUCUUUUCUAUCAUAUAUAGGGUUUCUGUUCAACAAGGCCUUUCUUUGCAAGAAACAAUAGGAAAACAAGGUAAUUGUUCUAAC